This 481-nucleotide ribosomal RNA is filed under the name uncultured bacterium. RNAcentral describes it as "partial 16S ribosomal RNA". It matches the Rfam family "Bacterial small subunit ribosomal RNA", at positions 29 to 523 of the family's 1533-position model. The record is from RNAcentral.
AAUGAACGUUGGCGGCGUGGAUUAGGCAUGCAAGUCGAGCGAGAACCCCGCAAGGGGGGACAGCGGCGCAAGGGACAGUAAUGUGUAGAUCAUCUGCCCUCAGGUCCGGGAUAGCUGCGGGAAACUGCAGGUAAUACCGGAUAACAUCCCCGGAUCAAAGUUGCGAUUCCGCCUGAGGAUGAGUCUGCAUCCUAUUAGAUAGUUGGAAGGGUAACGGCCUACGAAGGCAUUGAUGGGUAGCGGGUGUGAGAGCACGACCCGCGUCAUUGGGACUGAGACACUGCCCAGACACCUACGGGUGGCUGCAGUAGAGAAUCUUCGGCAAUGGGCGCAAGCCUGACCGAGCGACGCCGCGUGUGGGAUGAAGGCCUUCGGGUUGUAAACCACUGUCAGAGGGGAUGAAAUGCAGGUGGGUUCUCCCAUCUGUUUGACAUAGCCUCAGAGGAAGGACGGGCUAAGUUCGUGCCAGCCGCCGCAGUAA